UUUUUACUCUCAUUUAGGUCAGUGAUCUGCCUCUCAUACUCAAUUCGAUUAACUUAUAGUUGUAAGCGCUCGCUAUCUUUUUAUCCCUUUAUUUUUAAUGUUUUUUUGUUUUUUUGUAUCAUGAGAUCUUGCUCACUUAUAGUUUUAUCGUUAAUUUUUUUACUUAAAUUAAUUCUGCCGAAUUGUUGUGAUUCGGUUCGCAAUCUGGAUCUUUAUUCAUCUUCAAUUGAAAAUCUGCUGGUGAAAUUGCCUAGAAAUCAGUUUUUACUUCCAAUUUUUAUCAUCAUUUUGCCCCUUUUUUUCUAU
Molecule: unclassified non-coding RNA, 306 nt
Filed under: Vibrio anguillarum
Lineage: Bacteria; Pseudomonadati; Pseudomonadota; Gammaproteobacteria; Vibrionales; Vibrionaceae
Source: RNAcentral